Molecule: non-coding RNA, 1030 nt
Filed under: Macrophomina phaseolina MS6
Lineage: Eukaryota; Fungi; Ascomycota; Dothideomycetes; Botryosphaeriales; Botryosphaeriaceae
Description: Bacterial small subunit ribosomal RNA
Rfam family: Bacterial small subunit ribosomal RNA
Source: Rfam by way of RNAcentral
UUUAUAUUGAGUUUGAUGAUGGCUCUGAUUGAACGCUAUCCAAGUGCUUGACACAUGCUAAUCGAACGUCUAAUUUAUUAGAAAUAAUUUAGUUAGAAGUGGUGUACAGGUGAGUAAAAGAUAUUAUGGCUACCUUGGAGUAAGGGACAUUAAAAUCCCUUAUAUCAUACAAAAAAUUUUGUAUUAAAAGAAAAUUAUUUUCGCUCCUAGAUGGAAAUUAAUAUCUCGGGCAGGUAGUAGUUAAGGUAAUGGCUUAACUAGCUUAUGUCCGUAGUCGAGACUGAGAGGUCGAUCGACCACAUUGGGUCUGAAAAAACCCCAAUACGUAUAGUACAGCAGUGAGGAAUAUUGGUCAAUGGCCUAACGGCUGAACCAGCAACUUGGGGGAAUGGAUAUAUAUAUUAGAGAUAAUAUAUAGUACCGACUAUGUCGGAUAAAGUUCUAGAUAGAAAAAUGAUAAUGACAAUUUUCUAUCUAUAUGUCUUGACCAAAUCUUGUGCCAGCAGUCGCGGCAACACAAGGGAGACUAGUGUUAUUCAUCUUUAUUAGGUUUAAAGGGUACCUAGACGGUAUAUCAAGCCCCAAAAGGGAACGGAUAUACUAGAGUUUUAUGUGAGAGGCAAAUAUAGUACUAUUGGUGUAGAGAUAAAAUUCAUUGAUACCUCUAGGCACGGGUAACGGCGAAGGCGAUCCUCUAUGUAAAAACUGACGUUGAGGGACGAAGGCUUGGGGAGCGAAUAGGAUUAGAUACCCUAGUAGUCCAGGCAGACAAUUAUGAAUGUCAUAGAUUAGAAAGAAAGCAUGAAACUCUUGAAUCUAUAAGGUUCCAGGUUACCUAUAUAGGUUCACUAUGAUUUUUUGAUCUAUAAAUGAAAGUGUAAGCAUUCCACCUCAAGAGUAAUGUGGCAACGCAGGAACUGAAAUCAUUAGACCGUUUCUGAAACCAGUAGUGAAGUAUGUGUGCGACAAGAAGCGGAUAUUAGUAAUGUGGUGCGAUUCCACUAGGUAUUCUCUACCUAACACUACCUAC